Molecule: ribosomal RNA, 468 nt
Filed under: uncultured bacterium
Lineage: Bacteria
Description: partial 16S ribosomal RNA
Rfam family: Bacterial small subunit ribosomal RNA
Source: RNAcentral
GACGAACGCUGGCGGCGUGCUUAACACAUGCAAGUCGAACGGAAAGGCGCUGCUCUUGCGGGUUGUUUGUUUGGCGAACGGGUGAGUAUCACGUGAGUAUCCCGUCCUUGCCUUUGGGAUAACUUCAGGUAACUGGGGCUAUUAUCGGAUAGGAGAUUCUGCUCCACGGUGGGCGUAGGAAAGUUUCGGCGGUUGUGAAUGGACUCGCAGCAUAUCAGCUAGCUAGUGGGGUAGUGAAUGACCAAGUCUUUGAAGGGUAGCCGGCCUGAGUGAGUGGCCGGCGUCAGGAGUACUGAGAUACGGCGCAGACUGGUACGUGAGGCAGCAGGGGAGAACAUUGCAGAGUGGGGGGGCGCCUGAUGCAGCAGCGCCGCGUGCGGAAUGACGGCCUUCGGGUUGUAAACAGCUUUCGCCGGAAACGAAGCGUGAGUGACGGUAAUGGGUAAAAAAGCACCGGCUAACUACGUG